UUCCUCUUCACUAAUGUAUGAUGAAGUCUCAAUGAAUGUACAGAUUCAAGAGGUCAACUACAACAACAAAGAAACAAGCUUAUCAACGAAAAACAGACGAAGUGGAAAGGUUAGUUUUUCACCUGUUUUUUCGUCUAUGAUUGGAGCAGUUUCGCCUCUUGAAGAACAAGCUUUCAGACGGGUUAGAGGUGAAAUGGUUGAUUGAUAGGUGGAGAUGUGGAUGAAGUUUUGAAAAGGACAACUCUUCACUUUCCUCUUUCCACUUUUAGUUCUGUCCAGAUUUUAAUUCUUUUCCUUUCUAAUUUCUCUUUAUUUGUUUGUUUAUUGUUUUCUUUAUUUCCUUCCUUUAUUGAUUGGGCCUGCUGACUUGGGCCUGAUCAUUGAUGUAUAUUGCUUUUAUUUUGAUUAAUAAAAUCUGGCCCUUUGGCCUUUUAGUUAAAAAAAAACAAAAAAAAACACUUGUGCAAUCAAAUAAUACACUUAUAAUUAUACUAUAAUUAUGUUACAAUAAACAAACAAAAUCAUCACCAUUACUAUAUUGUUAAAUUAUAACAACUGUCUUAAUAAUUACACUAAUUUCAAUUCUUAAGGCAAAACAAUGUAUUACUAUAAUAUGAUUUUGUCUCAAAUCAUUUUAAGUUAUUGAGUCAAUGCAAUUUGAGUCUUACCUUUAAUCUCUAUUUUUCGAGGUACGUAUGUGUAUACUUUGAAAUAAUUUAUAUGCUUUAUUUUCUUUAAUAAAUUCUAAUUUUAUUUAAGCUCUUAUAAUAUUUGAUUUUCAAAGUAAAUAAUUUAUUACUAGAAUAGUAAAAACUGAAUAUAUUUAUUAUCCAAGUCUAAUCAAUAUCCAUAACCUCUACCCCCUAAAAAUUAAAAAUUUCUAAGACUAAAAUCUCCCCAAACAAUUUUAAACCCACUACCCCUUUUUCCAUUACCAAUUAAACUCCCCACUCCCCCAAUUCCUUUGGUCACGUCAACCCACUUUCUCCCCUCACCCCUCAUCUUUUCUUAUCUCAUGCUCUUGUUCAAUUCCAAAUUUUCUUAUACGUAUAUUUCCUAAUUGAUUUUUUCUUUUGUAAAUUUUAUGAAGUGAAAUUCUUCAAGUAGACGAGAUAUGUUUGUAUAAUAUGAGGAUUGAAUCGUAACAUUUAUGUGAAUGUCAAGAUUAUUCUCUUUUCAUGUUGUUUUUAGGAAUUACAUUAGAAUUUGAGAUUUAUAUCUUUAUUUUAAUAUAUAUAUAUAUAUAUAUAUAUAUAUAUAUAUAUAUAUAUAUAUAUAUAUAUAUAUAUAUAUAUAUAUAUAUAUAUAUAUAUAUAUAUAUAUAUAUAUAUAUAUAUAUAUAUAUAUAUAUAUAUAUAUAUAUAUAUAUAUAUAUAUAUAUAUAUAUAUAUAUAUAUAUAUAUAUAUAUAUAUAUAUAUAUAUAUAUAUAUAUAUAUAUAUAUAUAUAUAUAUAUAUAUAUAUAUAUAUAUAUAUAUAUAUAUAUAUAUAUAUAUAUAUAUAUAUAUAUAUAUAUAUAUAUAUAUAUAUAUAUAUAUAUAUAUAUAUAUAUGUAUUUUGCAGACGGUUAAAUUUAAUAUAACAAUACUUUUAUAUAUAUUUAGGAUAUUUCUGAGUUCUCAUUACAUCAUAAAGAAAAUUAUAUUUCACCUUCAAUUGGUUGCAGAUAAGCAUCAAUUUUGUUUUUGUUUAGAUCUACGAACGAUGAUUAGUGUUUUAUAUGAACUUGUGUUUUUAUACAAAUAUGUUUAUCAAUAAAUAUUUAUCUAAUCAAAGUUCUUAUUAUUUCAGUCAAGGUACAUGAAGAUUGAACUUACUUCACCUCAAAUAGAAGAUAAGGUGACAACAAUACUCCAAUCACCAAACAAAUGCAUAGCACUUUUGUAUUUUGUUUGAUAUGGAACUAUUUUAGAUUUUUGAGCAUUUAAAGAUGUAACGUUCAAGUUCUUAUACAUAAGUUUGUAUCACUUUAGUUUGACAUAAAUUUAAACUUGCAAUACUUUUUACUAUGGAUUUGUUUAAUGAAAUUUGAUUUUCAUUAAAUGUUUAGUAAAGUAUUUAAUUAUAUGUAUUAUCAAAAAGGCAUGGUGUAAAUUAAACAUUUAUUUUCUUAUAAAAAAAUAAUUUGUGGCGGUCAUAAGGCUGCAUAGAUUAGAUUAUGCACACCUUCAUUGGAACCAGAAAUCAGUGCUAGCUCCAUUUCCAAUCCGUCAUUUUUGGCCCUUAAGUAUUGGUUGGAUUGCCUGAAUUUUUUUUCAAAACCUCCUAUAGAUUAGGCUGAGAUCUUAUCCAUUUGUAGAUGGAGCUUCGAUAGCAGCUAGGUCUAGAGGGAAGUUAUGAGCAUUAAGUGUUGAUAUCAUUAUUCUUGUAAUUCUAAAUUCAUAAAAAAUAUUUUUUUAAAAAAUACAAAAUGAUAUUAUUGAGGUUGUAAACAGUCACAGAUUGAUUUGAAAACCUCCACAAAUUGAAAAGUAAAUUUCUGGCGGUUGUCAAGGAGGUUGCUUAAAACCACCACAAAUAUGCUCGUGGCAAUGAUAAUUAUAGCGUUUUUAACAAUCGUCGCAAUUCAAAUUGUGGAGGUCAAAAAUUGCCUCAAAUUGACAAAAUAACCCCUACAAAUUGAGCAUUUUCUUGUAGUAUAUUUAAAGUACUCACUGAAAGAUUAACAACUUUUGUUACCACUCAUGUGUAUUCCUCCGAGAACAUGCAAACUGAAGAAACUUAUCCACACUAGUUAUGUAACUAUGAAUUAAUACCCCUCUCGACCAUCCAUACUCUCGUACAUCCAACCAUACUCUAGAUUAACCAUGUUCCUAUUUGGUAUUGAAACAAACAAUAAAAUAAGAAUUUUUUUUUAAUAAGUAACACAAUCAAAAUUUCUUCUAUAAGUAGGAACAAGUUCAAUUUAAAAAGAAGAUUUGAAAAUUUGAAGCCACACAAUUCCCAACUGAAAUUUUUAUCAUUUAAACUAGGGAUAAGGGUCUGAAAAAUAUCCCAACUUUGGUCGAAUUUGCUGUUGCGAUACUAAACUUUCAUAAGGACCUAUUACCUCUCUAGACUAUUUAAUACCAUAUUUUUUACCCCCUGAACUAUUUAAUAGUGUAUUUUAAAGGUAUAUAUGUGCCCACGUGGACACAUUACUAUUUAUAAUUUUGCAUUAUUUUUUAUGUCCACGUGGACAAAUAUAUAUGUUUAAAAUACGGUAUUAAAUAGUCUAGGGAGGUAAUAGGUCCUCAUGAAAGUUUAGUAUCGCAACAGCAAAUCCGACCAAAGUUGGGGUAUUUUUCAGACCCUUAUCCCUUUAAACUACGUACAAACGAGAAAGGAAGAAAUUCAAAAGACGAACUAAAACUAUAGAUCUGACACUCAAAAAUUGCUAUGUUUUCUUAUGGUAACAAAUAAUACACCCAUUCACAUAUAUAAAAACUUACAGCAACUACAUGAAGAAUAUUAAAGAGAAUGGGGAAGGCAUUACAAUAUCCUGCACUUACUGUCCUUGUAGAAAAUUAGAAAAAUUAUAUGAAUGAAAUUCCUAAUCAAUGUGAGUGAAAGUUGGCUCGGACACCACGAUCAUCAAAAAUUAGAAAGGUGCAUAAAAGUAACACAUUAUAUAAACAUAUACAUGUGUGAAUCUCCCAAAAGAUUUUCAGUGUACUAACAGAUCUCCGAGGAAGUGGGAGAGUUGGCAAAAUAGCCACUCUAAAAGACUUAAUGUGACAUUAAGUCACAAGUCUUGAAUAAUUUGUGGUAUAUCCACUAUUAAUGACAUCAUCCAUAUGCCCUAAUUGGCACAUACAAAAGACCUCCCUAAGUUUCCAUAUCUCCACUUUGGUCCCCCUCCAACAAAUAUGGAAUAAUAUAUUUAUUUGCAAUUGUUAAAAUUUAUAUUAGAAAAAAGAAAAAAGUCUCCAAACGGAAACAAGAGCAGUUUGUUUUUGCUACUGUCGAUUUAUCGAUUCUGGCGAGUUUUUUGGUCGUAAUAUCCAUUUCCAAGGUAAAAUCAUCAUCAUCUCCUACUCCAUAUUCUUGUUUACUCCAUUUUCUUUAAAAAACCAAGCUUCAAAAUUAGUUUCCCGCCAUUUUAGAAAUGUGAAAAAUCUUCCAUAAUAAUCACUUGAUAACUCAUUAUAGAUACAUUUUAGUAGUUUAAAAGCAUUAAAAAUCUGUUUCGCCAUUGCAGGAGCUGCAUUGUGAACCACGAUCUCAUUCAGUCGCGUUUUUGUACGAAUGUCGUACUUCAUCGAUCGUUAACGAUUGAUACUGUAAUCUAGUAGCUAUCUUUGAAGUCUAUAAUGACAGUAGCUGGAUUUGUUGUUGCUGGUGGUAAUUAUAUGGGAGUAUGAGAGGAGACUCCCAAAAGCUGGAAUUGGAAAUCUUUUAGUAAGAUGACAGUGCCCAUUGCGUUGCAUCGCAUUGGUUCAUAUGAUGAUAUGAUUGCAAGCGUAAUUGAGGCGGUGAGUUAACUUGCGAGCCAAAUGACUUGGUGAUUAGCUAUCAAAUGAAUGGGAGGGGAAAAAUACAUCCCACGUUCAUAAAAAAUGAUAGGCAUGUGAGCUUGUACAUGUUAGAUAUUGGUAUUGAUGUCUCUAGGCCUACAUUGAGGAUAAACGUCAAUGCGAGGCCUCCAAUUGAACCAACGAAUUCAUUUAACGACGACAAUGAUUUGAUUGGAAAUGAAAGAUUAGGUGAUCAUUCAAAGGAGAGCUUGGGUGAUAAUUCAAAUGAGAGUUUCAGUGAUCAUUCAAUGAAUAUACACGAUGAUCUAACUAACGUGGAAAAUCAGCCAGUAGAUGCGGAAGAUCUCGAACCCAAAUGUUGUGAAGAAAUGCAGGAAGAACAGGAAUUGGGAUCACAAUCCAACCAUUCCUUCUCCGAUGGAACUAAUUUAUGCAUAAACCAAACUUUCAGUAAUGAGAAUGAGUUGCAAUUGUUAUUAGCCGAAGCGGCGACAAAGAAGUCUUUUGAUUUUGCUACUGUGAAAAAUUGUACUAAAUACUUAAAGGUGAAAUGUGUAUCUCGCAAUUGUGCAUGGAUGUUGCGGGCAAGAAAAUAUGAGUGUUCAGAUAGAUUUCGUAUCUAUAAGUACAUUUGCGAACAUAGUUGUGGUGUUGAACAUGCCAACAGUAGCCAUAGAAAAAUUUCAGUCAAAGUUAUUGCUUCACUUUGUGUAAAUAUGUAUCGUGAUGGAAAGGGUCCAAAUGUUAAAGAGAUUCAAAGAGCUAUGUUUAAUUCUUUUCAAUGUAGUCCAAGAUAUUGAAAAUGUUGGAAGGGUGGUGUGGUUGCCAAGGAAAUGGUCUGAGGGAUAGCGAAGAACUGAUAUUCAUGCUUACAGGCUUUUUCCUACAUGUUCGAGACACUUAAUGUUGGUUCUAGAUAUUGUAUCAUGGUAAACAAGGAUAGUCAUAGGUUCAUGUAUUAUUUCUUGGCCUUCGGUGCUUACAUUAAGAGAUUUGCCAACAUGAGAAAGGUAAUUGCGGUUGAUGGCACUCAUUUACAUAGUAAAUACGAGGGCGUGUUGUUGAGUGCUGUUGCACAAAAUACGGAGAAUCAUACUUAUCCAAUUGCCUUUUGUGUCGUGGACAAAGAGAAUGAUGCAUCUUGAACAUUCUUCUUUGAGAAGUUGAAGGAGAUUGUGGUCGAUGAACCAGAUUUGUGUUUUAUCUCCGAUAUACACAAUAUUAUCGCCAAUGGUAUUAUGAACGUUUACAAUCAUUCCCACCAAGGAUAUUGUAUGAGGCACCGGUGAAAAUCUCCACGUAAAUCAUCAUUGUGGAGAUUACCUUUAUCUUUACUACAAUGCGGCAAAAACUUAUUCUUUGGAGGAGUUUGCCAAUCAUUUUGUAAAUUCAAGAACAAAUGCCGCGGCAGCCAUCGUCCUUGAGUAUGAUAUUGAUUUUGAGAAGUGGAGCAGGGCACGUUUUCCUGGCAAUAGAUAUGAUGUGAUGACCACAAAUAUCGCCGAGUCACUCAAUGCUAUGUUGAUAGAUGAAAGGGAGUAUCCCGUGGCAUCAAUAUUUAAUUUGAUUGCUAAGCGGUUUGGAGAAUUGUUCAGGGAGAGACAUGCAUAUAUCCUUAAAUCAAUGGAUAAUCAAAUGGUGCCUUCUGUCGAAAAAAUCACAAGAAAAAAAAUGAUCGAGGACGACUCCUUAUAUGUGGAGAACGUAACUGGUGACGGCAAUUAAUUUACCGUGUUCGGUGCAAGUGUUACUGCCUAUGUGGACCUACUGAAAAAGUCAUGUUCUUGUAGGAAAUAUGACUUGAUCAAGAUACCUUGUGCUCAUGCGAUGACCACUUUGCGAUCAAAACAUGGCAAUGAGUAUGGUAUGAGCAUCUAUGAGUAGUCUUCGCCUUUGUAUAAAGUUGAAGCGUACCUUCUUGCAUACAUGGAUUCUAUUAAUGUUGUCCCUCUCGAGUCGGAAUGGUGUGUGCCAGAAGAAUUGCUUAAUGUGAAGAUUCUUUCGCCUCUUGUCGAUACCAAGCUUGGAAGAAAAGAAGAAAACGUGUCGAAGGCAUCGGUGAAAAUUUCAAGAGCAAGCGAAGGAACAAAUGUUCAAUUUGUAAGAGAACCGGACAUAAGAGAACUACAUGUGUGAACAACAACAAAUCUUAAACAAGCUUGAUUGAAUUUGUUUUUGUAAUCAAGCUACUAUUUUUUUUGCUGCCAGCAUUUUGUCAAUUUAGUGUCAUCUAUUAUCGUAAUUAGUCGUGAUCUAAUAUAGAUCAAUCAAAAGAUGACAUACAUUUUGUACGCUAUCUAUUAAUGUUUAUUAUCGAGUCCAACCGUUCUCUAUUAAACUGUGUAUUAUUAAUAUAUGAAAAAUCAUGGUAUUCAUGAUGCAAUGAUUUUAAUACAUGAAAUAGAAUGAUUAAAGAAGGAAGUGUUGUAAAAAAAGAAGUCAUGAUCUGAAGUUGUGUAUUUAACGCAUGUGUAUUAUUAUUAUCAUGCAUGUUAUUUUUAAUGCACCAAAUCAAACUAUCCAUAAGAAAUAAUCUAAGUACAACUAAUCCAAAAAUGACUAAUACAAACAUUAUCUGAAUAUACACUCUACCAAAUGACCCUUAAAGAAUUAUCAAAAAAUCAUAUGUUACUAUUGAAAUUUGUAUAUCAAAAUAUGUAUUGGUUGUCAAAAUAUAUAGCCCCUUAUACAAUCGAUGCAUCUAUAUGUGCGUGGUAUGUGUAUGACCAAUGAGAUUUACACUCUGGCAUUAGUAAGGUAUAUUCGGGUUUAUAUCUAUGUUAAAGCAUUGUCGAUACUGCACCUACUAGAAUAUGACACCUAUAUAUAGACCAAAACUAGUAGAAUUUUAAAAAGACAACAAUAAUAAAUUAUAUUUUAAAUUUUUUUCCAAUUAAAUAAGUUUAAACAAGUCAUAUGAUCAUGUAAGAGUCCACAUGAUUUGGGUGUGGUGAUUAGAGAUGUAUGAGGAAGAGUUAUGGUUAUACAAUCAACAUCCUUAGAAUAAUGUUUGAGAAAUCAUAAGUAUAUUGUAAGGAUGUCACUUGUUAUGUGUGGUUAUACAAUCAACAUCCUUAGAAUAAGUAUGUGAUCAUGUAUGAGUUUACAUAAAUUGGGGGUGGAAAUCAACAAUGUGUGGUUGAACAACAUGUGAUCAUCCUCACAACAUACUUAUGCUUUCUCAAACAUUGUUCUAAGGAUGUUGAUUGUAUAACCAUAACUCUUCCUCAUACAUCUCUAAUCACCACACCCAAUUUAUGUGGACUCUUACUUGAACAUAUGACUUUUUUUUUAGCUUAUUUAAAUGGAUAAAUUUCAAAAAUAUAAUUUAUUAUUAAUUAAUUAUUGUCCUUUUUAAAUUCUACUACUUUUGAUCUAUAUAUAAGUGUCAUAUUCUAGUAGGUGCAGUAUCGACUAUGCUUUAACAUAGAUAUACACCCAAAUAUACCUUACUAAUGUCAGAGUAUAAAUCUCAUUGGUCAUACACACACCACACACAUAUAGAUGCAUCGAUUGUAUAGGGGGUCUAUGUAUUUUGACAACCAAUACAUAAUUUGAUAUACAAAUUUCACAACGGUAAUAAAAGUUCAAAUGCUACUUUUCAACGAUAACAUUUGAUUAUUUUUUUUGUAUAAAAGGAAGGCAAUCCCUUAUAAACAACUCAAACACCUCCAUUUUUACAAUGUCUCGAGCAUUUCAAACAUCCAAUGCAAAAAAGUCUUACAAUUGUCAUUGUGGUAAUCCAGCUACGUUGAGGAUAUCACACACCGAUACAAAUCCAGGUCGACAAUUCUUUAAUUGUGCUGUUGGCAUAUGCUCUUUUUUUAGGUGGCUUGAAAAUGAAUCAUCAACGAGUAGCCCAUCAAAUUUUCAAGGCAUUGCCAAAUUUGAAAUAUUAAAAAAGCUACGGGAAUCCGAAAAAAGUAGGAAAAGAACAAACCACUUUAAUCUUGUUCUUAAAAACCAACUAUUUCAAAAACUAAUUGUCUUGAAAAACCAUCUCAAAAAACCAAUUGUCUUCAAACCAUGGAAAACCCAACUAUUACCAAAACCAAUUGUCAUCAAACACUAACUAUUUCAAAAAUUGUCCUAAAACACUAGGGAAUACCCAUCACAAAAACCACAAAUGCCCUUACUCAUCACCACCAACCUCACCGUUAAGCUCCAUCAUAAUACCCAUCACGUCUAUUUCUUUUUCCAGUUUUGCCACAUCAGUGGCCAAGCCUUCUUCUUCCAACUUUUCCUCUUCUUCAUUCUCUGUUAUCUUCUCCUCUUGUUGUUCUUUCUCUUAUUCUCCACUUGAUUUAUUUUCUUCAUUUUUCUUCUCUUCCAGAUUCUCCUCUUCACUUUCUUCUUCUUUCUUUUCUUCUAGCUUCUCCUCUUCUUUUUCUUCAUCGCUCUCUUCGAGGUUCUCUUUUUCUUUUUCUAUCAUCUUCUCCCCAUCUUGUUCUUUCUCUUCUUCUUUCAUCUCAUCUUCCUUCAUCUCUUCAUCAAAUUCUUCAACAAAGUAUUCAUCAACUUCUUCAGCAAAGUAUUCAUCAACUGCAGCAAGAUCAUCAUCGACUAUAGCUAAUGGAAGGAUCUCGUCAUCAAUUGUUGGUGCUGAAAAGUUGUCAUCAUCUAUUGCAAGAUCAGUGGCUAAGCACUAAUAGAAAUAAUUUUUUUUGCAGAAAUAAUAUAUAAAUUUAUCUUCCUUUCCUUUUCUUGUUCUUUUCACUUCUUCUCAAUUUCUUCUCUCGUACAUAAGCAACAAUUUCCAUCAUUGAUUGCUCGAGUGAUGCAACACGCUCGCACAGACUUUCAUCUUUAGAAGUACUUGGUACAGAAUUCUCACAAGGUUGAUUAGGAUUGUGAUCACUUAAAUACUCAUCCUCCACAUUCUCUACUACUAAAGUAAGGACAGUCACACCUUUCAAAUUUGCCUUUAAGGCAACGAGGAUUGUAUCCUUCACUUCGUCCACAUAUGGCUUUAAUAUUGCCAAGUAAUUCUUUUUUAUCUCACGAACAGUAGGUGUGAGGUAUGGGUGCACAACCUACGCAUAUAUAUAUAUAUAAAUAUUACAUGACAUUCAUCAAUUUAUAAAUAUUACUAAAUAAUGAUAAAUAAACUUUGUACCUUUGUACUUAAAUAGAUCACCUUCGAUAAUAUUAUCAUUUUUGGCGGUGUGCCAUCUAAGUAAACAGGGAAUGGGUAAAGAAGAAUCCAAGGACUUCUUGGCAUACUUUCCAAGAUGAGGAAAAGACUCAUAUAUCCAAACCUGGAAUUAAUAGAAGAACAAAUAAAUAAACAUAGGCUAUAAAAUACUACACAAAUAUAUAAGAAUUUAUCAUAAAUCAACUACAUAAUUUAUAAGAAGUACCAGAAAUGCCCAGGGAAAGCCAUACAGAGCAUACAAUGCACUUCCUCUUUCAUUAAAUACUUCACUCUACUUCUUCAAAUUGAUUUUAUUCUUCAGAUAUGCCAAUGUUAAAUUAAAACUCUCUUUUCCCCCCAUAGAUAACUAUUAAAGAAAUCUAAAUCAUACACCAUCUUAAUGUGGCUUGAAUCCACAAUUUUAGAUCGAUCAUGGGCAAGUAGCAUCGUGUGGAUGAACAAAACCAACGAGCACUUCAACUUUUGCUCCUUAUUCAACUUGGAACCCUUGAUCAAACGCAUCAACUUUGUAGCAGCAAUAGACUUAUUCUUAGUCACCUUGUAGUAAAAUUUCUCACCCUUUUCAAGAAUUUUUUUCAAUUUUGUAUCACGGGGGUAUGAUGAGUAAUUCAGCCCCGUAAUCAAUGCAAAUUCUCUUAAGCCAAAACAAGUAGGGUUAUCAUUCACACAAAGCCAAAUUUCAUAAUUUUUUGUCACUUUUCACACGUGCAACAACAUAUAAUGGACCAUCUGUCCAUUGAACUUGAAAUGUUCUGGAAUAUGCCUCAAGUGUCCAAAACAAGUACCUUUAAAAUCAUCAUAAAUUUUUUCUUGAACUAGAAGAUUUAUUAAAUCACGAUAAGCAGCCAUCCUUGCUCUAACAUAAAUUUUUGCUGGAAAUGAUCCUACUUCAUCUAUCCAUGUCUUUAAAUCAUACGACUUACCAGAAAUGUCUUUUGCACAAAUUGGCAAAGACAGGGGAUCUUCAUCCUCAUCACCAGUUUAGGUAUCUCUACUAUUCUCAUUUUAACUAUCACUUUUAUCAUUACUAGAUUCAACAUCAUCACUAGACUGGGCACUACUGUCCUGGUAGUUGUCAAUCUCAGCCAUUGUAUCAGAAUUAGAGUUUGACUGAUAUUCUUUCACAACAUUAUUCUUCUUUUUUGAAGCUUUGGAAACUUCUUUAGCCUUCAUUUUCUUAUUUUUAGAAGCAUUAGGACCAGAUCGUUUAAUGAUGCCACCUAUAGUUUUAGCCAUACUGUACUAUAUACAAGCAAAAAUAAAUUUGUCAUAUCAAAAUAUCGACCACUAGUCUAUUAGCACUAUCAAAGCUUACAUUAAAAACAUAUACAAAAGAAGUAGCAGUUCAAACAAAAAUUGACAGUAAAAUCGCAAACAUAAAACUUUAAAAUCGAUCAAAAUAUAGUAAAAGUUUUCAAAUCGCUAACAUAAAACUUUCAAUAUUUUUAUGCAUUAUCCAAAUCAAAACGUCAUUAACGAUGCCGAAUCAGAAACAUAAACUAAAAAGGGUCAGAUUUUUAAAAGUUUAAGCAAAAAUCUAAACUUCACUACACUAAAAGUUACUGGAAAUACGAUGAUGAAACUUACCUGAGAGGAAGAAGAUUGAACAAGAUUCAACUGAACUUGGGGAAGAAGAUUGAACAAAAUAGACCUGAUUCACUUCGUUUAAAAUCUUCAGGAACUAUUAUGGGAUCUUACGUUUGCUUAUGGUUUUAAGAAUAGAAGAUUGGAAAGGUUGGUUCUUGGAGAAAGGUGUUUUAUGGAGGUUUACGAAAUCGAUAACGCUGGUAUAUGGAAGAUCAAAAGCCACAUUGGAGAACAAAGUUCUGAGGUUUCAUCGAAAAAAGGGUUUUCUGAUAACCCAAUAUAUUAGUUUUUUUUAUAUUGGGAUUGUACUUUAUUUUUGGAGGGAUUAAAUUUAUUUAAUAUUUGAAGUGUUGGGAAGAAAAUGAUUUUUCAAAACUUGUAUUUUGCCCCUAAAUUUUUAAAGUGUUAAAAAGACCCCUGACCCCACAGGCCAACCCCACUUUUUGACUUUUUCUUAAAGUAAACGUAAAAAAAAAAGAAAAAAAAAAAGAGAUGGCUAUGGACUAAAUUAAGUUAUAUUGAUGGGCAGUGGGCACUAUAGCUUUCCGUACAACACAACACGACAGAGCAGUUCUAUUCUCUUAAGAAAAUUGUUGUCCAGUCAAUAAUUAAAAAAAAACCUUUGCUAAGAUAAAGAUCCUCAUAUGAUAUGUCAUAACACAUGUAUGUAUCAAGACAUUGAAAACAAAGAGCACAAAACAAUAAUACGAGAUGACUAAACAAAACAAAAUAUUUCAAUUACACAUUAAAUCCAUCAAAAGUAUAUCUCAAAAUGAAAUAACUACCUUCUAACCAAUGGAUGAUAAGAAAAUCACUUUGUUGGACAUAGUUUACCAAGAAACCCCAAGUUUUUUUCUAGAUUUCAAGCUCUACGGAGAUCUCUUGCCCCCCUUGGAGGCUGGUAAACUCAAAGGAUACAAAUGACAAGAUUAAUCAUUAUAGAGUAUAUAAAAGGAUAAUUUUUUACAUAGCCUAAAAUGUCAACAAAUUUGUACCAAAAUUUAUGAAUGAAUGAACAAUAUUUGGUAACAAUUGUGCUUCAAGAAGAAUAAGAUUCUCAAUCCAAUGGCUACACAUAUACAUCUCCAGCAAUAGAAGAAGAAAAUGGAACGACGAAAUUUUGUUAGAUGGUAAUUUUUGGAUUUACGGGUCUUGAGAGAUAAGGUCUAGGAUUUUCAAGUCUUUUGUGGGGUAAAAAUAAAAUAAUUGGGAAAACUGUGUUCUAGUAUUAUUAUUUUCAUUUUAUUUUUAAUGAAAAACUAAAUGACAUGUCUAUACACCGCCAAAUUAGAGUAUUAACGACCAGUUGACAAUAGGUUUAGGAACCAGAUUGAGUCCCUUCACUAAUUAAGAUAAUAAAAUUGUAAAUUAGGGACCAGAAAAUAAUAUUGUCCCUAUAAAUAAGCUUUUAAGGGUGAUUUUUCCUACCGAUCAAUAAAAAUUGGCCAUAAAAACCCCUUUUCUUAUAGUGAAUCUUAUAGCCUCUCAUUCAUAAAUGUGGCGCGCUUCACACUCAUGAACAAGACUCUACUCGAAGUGGCUUAUGAGACAUCCUAGAACCUUUCUAAACCUUGUGAUUUGAAUACCAAGUUUAUCACGACCCAAAGUACACCUUAGUCGUAACAUGGUGUAUAAAACCCCAAGAGGCCCUACACAAGCCACUUAGAAUAUAUCAUACAAGAUAAUAGAAUUCAAAAGAGUUCAAAAGAUAAUUUUAUAUCAUAAAGAGUUUGACAAAAGUAGAAGUUUAACAUUUGUCUCAGUAAGCCAUCUAAUACAUCAUAAUAAAAGUGAUUGGGACGUAACCCAACAACACAUACAAAGUCUGAAACUGAAAUGACAAAAACUAUAAAAGUGACAUCAUCCUCGAAGUAUGAGGACUCACCAAGUCUUCAAAUCUCUAAGGCGAAAUGGUCUGGUAGACCAUUGUACUUGUAUGUGUUUGUAUUGUGAACCCUUCUAUUUAUUCAUUUGUCAUCUGAACCCCUGAACUCAUCAAAACACAAUAUUUUAAACACAUUUUUUGAGUUGGCAUCCUAUGUGGCAGUUACUACUAAAGAGCGUGUGACACACACCUAUUAGGAGCGUGAGAUCCUUGGAAAAGGGUCUGACAGUCACAUUAGGGCUUUGUAAAGCCAUCAUCUUUCUAUUUGCAUAUAACACCAUUGUUGGACAAAAUUUGAGGUUUUCUUGGCCUCUUUUCCGAUCUCUUUCCCAAAAAUUUCUUCUCUAUCGUUUCUUGUUAUUAUACGGCUCUCUUUUUCUAUGAAAAACACCAUGGAAGGCAUAACACUACUACCGAAAUAUCUUACACUAACAUUAGGCACAAAAAUGCAAAAUCCCCAAAGAAUUUCAACAAAGUCAAUGUAAUUGAUUAGAACCCCAAAACCAAACAAAGACACAAAUAGAGAUCAAAUCCAAACUAAAUAACAAAUAAAUUGGAAAACCUACCUAGAUAAGUUGAAAAUCAAACAAAAAAACUCAAAUAAUUUUUGACAUUGACCCCUUGUUUCAGUUCCAAACCAAACCCAAACUUAUUGCCUUCUUCUCGUCCUCCUCACCUUCUCCGACCAAACUACCUUCGUUCUCACCAUUUCCGACAAGCUUCAACCAACAACUAUAAAUGAGAACCAACAACAACAACAACAACAAAAAACCCAAACUAACUCUGCCAAUAAGUCUCGACUUUCACAACACCGCCAGUUGUGAACAACUAGAAACAAUCAGACCACCCAAUAGACCCCCACUUUUCCUUAGCGCCACCGGUCACCACCAAAACCCCAAUCCAACAUAACCCAAAAUCAACUCCGAACUCCAACGAGAUUGUGAACAACCAGAAAUCGUG
This 14043-nucleotide long non-coding RNA is filed under the name Solanum tuberosum (potato). Its description in RNAcentral is "long non-coding RNA (STUB_LNC006280)". The record is from RNAcentral. Lineage: Eukaryota; Viridiplantae; Streptophyta; Magnoliopsida; Solanales; Solanaceae.